AUGGCUGCUGAACCACCUGAACGUACUCUGUGGGUAAAAGAUUUCGAUGACGCUGUUGAGCAACUGAUUGAUCUUCUGCAUCAUGGCGAUAGUAUUGCAGAAGGCAAAAUAAAAGCAUUCUUGUUUAACGGCUGGUUCGGCGAGGGUCUGGGAGCAUCCGCCGUUCUUAGAGCUACAGCAGAACACCUCAAGUCCAAAACAAGUGAUCCAGACACGAAACUGCAAUUUGAUAAAAUUGUGCAAGUCGACUGCUCUUUGUGGAAAAAUAGAAGGACCAUGCAGCGUCAAAUAGCGGCAGAACUGAGCCUUGGGCAUUUAAUGCCUAUUUUUGAUAAGCAAGACGAGGACGAUGAUUUCAGAGGAGUAGAUGACAGUUCUAGAGCAGAGAUAACAAGCAUAGCAAGUGAGAUCCAUGAAUCUCUGAUCAAUACCAAAUUUCUUCUAAUUUUGCAUUAUGGGGGAGAUGCAGAUAUUGAUCUGGAGGAGUCCGGUGUUCCUUUACUUGGACGUUUUGGUAAAGGCAAGCUUUUAUGGACCAAUCAUGGAAGAUUUCUGUUCUCACGAAAACAACACAAGUUGUUGACAUCAAAUUUUGUUAAUAUACGAAUGUAUUUCCCUGUGCUUCAAAUGAAAUACAGUGAUAUCCAGCAACAACUGCAUUCUUUGUUGCACAAAGAAGCUAUUGAGGUGAUUAGGUACACCGGAAUGGAUGACAUCAACCCAGCAACAGUUGUGGAUUGCUUCUUGUACUCAUUGUUCCUGAUAGAAAAACUACGUGGAUUCUCUGGCAGUGGUGACUAUGACUGGGCUACUCAUGCUUGCAACUACUGGAUAUGUGACGGAAUUAUUCAAAGGGAAAGAGCUUGGGAGGUUGGCAGUGCAUUAUAUGGAGUGAUAGGGCAGUUGUGCCGUUCUUCACAUGCAACGGAAGAUCUAGUGGGAUACUUCGACCAACAAAUAAAACCCUACCGAGGCUGGAAAUCAAUUGCAAACAAUAGAGGAGCACAGAGUAUCUCUGCCAUUCCAGUUGAUGCAUCCUCAUAUUUCUUAACAUUUAAGGGACAUUGUCUACAUUUUUUAGAAAAUAUCUAUUUUUUUAAGGGAGAUGGUCUAUUAGAACUACCAAAUGAUGGUUUGUUUCAACUAGCCAGUAACCUCCGUGUGCUAAAACUCUGCAAGUGCAGCUUUGAUUUUGCAUUUCCUCCUUUCAAAUCCUGCAAGAACCUAAGGUUCCUUUGGCUUGACCAUUGUGCAAACACUGUGAAGGAGCAAGGUGGGGGGACAAGUUUUCCAAACCUUAUAGUGCUUGAUCUGCGUUACACAGAUUAUGCCUUGCAGCAGCAGAUGAUUGAACGGAUGACCAAUCUAAGGGAGAUAAAUACAAAAGGAGUCUCAUGGAGGAAUAUAAGUCAUGCAUGGAAAACAUUACAAAAUGUUCACAGGCUCCGACUAACCAAAUCUUCAGAUGUGAUCACAGUGGACAAUUGCUCUUCCUUGGAUAUGAUCAAUCUGGAGCUCUUUGACUUGUCCGGCAAUACCUGCAUGGCAUCAUUGCCUGCAGUGUCAUCAGCGGCAAGCCUGAAGAUGCUUGUUCUUGAUGGUUGUUCCAACUUGGAGACCAUUGCACUUGAAGGGCAUCUUCCACUACUCGAGACUUUUAGCUUUGAUGGUUAUGGCCCAACAGAGGACUGGGCACAUCCCACAAAACUGCCGAAAAAGGAAUUUCGGCCAAAGUCUCGUGCAACUUCAACCAAAGAAGCCAAGGUGAAAAAAAUCUCCCUGAUGGGCUGUGGUCAAUUGCAUAGCGUAUUCUUGCGUGGACUGGUCAAUCUGGAGGAGUUGGACCUCUCUGGUACGGCCAUCAAAAUGCUUGACCUCAGUGCCAUGGCUGUCCCAAAACUUAGGAAGUUAUUAUUAGUGGGUUGCCGACAACUCUGUAGCCUACUCUGCACUGUUAGUGAGCCGCUUGGAUUGGAAGUGCUACAUGUAGACACUCAGGAGAAGAAAAGUUUAGCUGUCUGUUGUGCGCAAGUGAGUGAGAGUUUCUUUACUUUUGAGGCAUGCAUUACCGUUAUAGAUGCAAGGAUUCUUUGGGGGUGCAUUGGAGGACUUUAUCGGUCGAUAAACAUAUACAGAAGGGACAAGGUGCACCUCCACAUCUCUUCUACCAUUCAUAGCCAAAUCAACAUGACUAAAAGUAUCGAGGGGAUUGGCCCUAGCCAGGAGGGUUUUAUUCCUACAGGGCGAUCGUUACCUUAUAAAGAUAUUAUCCUUCUGACGGAUGUAGCAUGUUUAUCCAUUGUGUGUGACCAGCGGCAACUUCAACCUCUUGAUGUGCAUAUGGAGAUUGGUGAUGAAGGCCACAACUUAGAGAGAAUAGAGGAGGACGGACGACCUGCUUUCAUCUGGUUUGUUUGGGAAUGUGUUCAGUCAUUGCAUGUGCAUGACAAUUCCUCAAUCACGGCUAUCCCUCCAAGGGGUCCACGAACUUGGUCUAGACUAACAUGGUGUCAUGUUGAGAGAUGCCCAAAGCUACAGUCUCUCUUUUCUUGUCUGCCUGGAUUUAACAACUUCAAUUCUUUGAGGACAUUUUCCGCGUCUGAUCUCCCGAUGGCCUACUGCAUCUGGGUUAAGACCAAAAAUCCUGAAAACCCUCGAGACUGCAUAUACCUAUACAGUGCCUUCACAGCCCUACAUCACAUAUACCUACACAAUUGCCCUAGGCUGGUGUUUGUCCUCCCAAUUUCCUUCACCUUGCCAAACCUGGAGACCAUCCACAUCGCAUACUGCAGCAACCUCCAAUAUGUUUUCCCGCUGGACAACAAGUACCCUCCAGAAAUAGCAUCCGGUGUCACAUUCCAGAAGCUGAAGCACAUCAAGCUACACCACCUCCACCGGCUGAAGCAGAUAUGCAAGGCCAGACUGACCGUGCCGGCACUGGAGACAAUCAGCCUCAGGGACUGCUGGGCUCUGAGGCGGAUACCGGCCGUCGGUGCGCGCCAAGGUCCUAAGCCGGUUGUGGACUGUGAGAAGGAUUGGUGGGGCAAGCUCCAGUGGGACGGCCUGGAGGCCGGGCACCACCCGUCGCUCUUCGAAACGCUUCACUCAGCUUACUACAAGGAGGCGCUCCCAAGGGUCUCCGUUCUAAGGUGA
Molecule: ribosomal RNA, 3153 nt
Filed under: Triticum aestivum (bread wheat)
Lineage: Eukaryota; Viridiplantae; Streptophyta; Magnoliopsida; Poales; Poaceae
Description: partial small subunit ribosomal RNA
Source: RNAcentral